RNAcentral lists this ribosomal RNA (226 nucleotides) under uncultured bacterium. Its description in RNAcentral is "partial 16S ribosomal RNA". It matches the Rfam family "Bacterial small subunit ribosomal RNA", at positions 93 to 334 of the family's 1533-position model. The record is from RNAcentral.
CACCGGCGAACGGCUUAGUAACACGUAGAUACAUACCUUAAAGUGGGGCAUAGCUCGUCGAAAGACGGGGUAAUUUCCCAUAGUCUCGCAAGAGUAAAGGCGCAAGCCGCUUUAAGAAUGGUCUGCGGCCUAUCAGAUAGUUGGCGAGGUAAAAGCUCACCAAGUCUAUGACGGGUAGGGGGCGUGAGAGCGCGACCCCCAAGAAUGGCACUGCGACACGGGCCAU